Molecule: ribosomal RNA, 492 nt
Filed under: uncultured bacterium
Lineage: Bacteria
Description: partial 16S ribosomal RNA
Rfam family: Bacterial small subunit ribosomal RNA
Source: RNAcentral
AGUGAACGCUGGCGGUAGGCCUAACACAUGCAAGUCGAACGGCAGCACAGUAAGAGCUUGCUCUUACGGGUGGCGAGUGGCGGACGGGUGAGGAAUACAUCGGAAUCUACUUUUUCGUGGGGGAUAACGUAGGGAAACUUACGCUAAUACCGCAUACGACCUACGGGUGAAAGCAUGGGAUCUUCGGACCUUGCGCGAUUGAAUGAGCCGAUGUCGGAUUAGCUAGUUGGCGGGGUAAAGGCCCACCAAGGCGACGAUCCGUAGCUGGUCUGAGAGGAUGAUCAGCCACACUGGAACUGAGACACGGCCCAGACUCCUACGGGAGGCAGCAGUGGGGAAUAUUGGACAAUGGGCGCAAGCCUGAUCCAGCCAUACCGCGUGGGUGAAGAAGGCCUUCGGGUUGUAAAGCCCUUUUGUUGGGAAAGAAAAGCAGCAGGUUAAUACCCCGCUGUUCUGACGGUACCAAAAGAAUAAGCACCGGCUAACUUCGUG